RNAcentral lists this long non-coding RNA (388 nucleotides) under Ananas comosus (pineapple). RNAcentral's name for it is "long non-coding RNA (ACOM_LNC040925)". Lineage: Eukaryota; Viridiplantae; Streptophyta; Magnoliopsida; Poales; Bromeliaceae. The record is from RNAcentral.
AUCAAAUGAAUAGUCUAAAAAUGAACGGUUGAAAAUAAAAAUCUCAUAAAAAAUGAUGAUAGAAGACUUGAAUUUAAGAUCCGAAAUACUGAUCUUACUCUAAAUAGUAAAAAGAAUUUUCUAUAAAAUUUCAUCUGAUUUGAAUUGUUUUACACCGUUAAAUUUACAAAUACAUCACAUCUAUCAUUAAAAUUGUCAAUUUUGAGAUCUUUUUAUCACUAGCCAAAUGAUGUAAACAAAUUCUGAAAUUUAGUUUCCAAAUACUUUCAAUAGUAUAGAAAAAAAUGGAGCCGAUCGUCGAUUUGGAAGUCGCAUCAUCGAAAACAACUUGGUAGCACAGAAACCUCCAUGCUACCGAUAGUAUAACAGUCGGACUAUAUAUAUAUAU